GACGAACGCUGGCGGCGUGCUUAACACAUGCAAGUCGAGCGGUAAGGCCCUUUCGGGGGUACGACGAGCGGCGAACGGGUGAGUAACACGUGGGUGACCUGCCCUCAGCUCUGGGAUAAGCCGUGGGAAACCGGGUCUAAUACUGGAUAUGACUCCAUGACGCAUGUUGUGGGGUGGAAAGCCUUGUGCGGCUGAGGAUGGGCCCGCGGCCUAUCAGCUUGUUGGUGGGGUGANGGCCUACCAAGGCGACGACGGGUAGCCGGCCUGAGAGGGCGACCGGCCACACUGGGACUGAGACACGGCCCAGACUCCUACGGGAGGC
RNAcentral lists this ribosomal RNA (322 nucleotides) under uncultured bacterium. Its description in RNAcentral is "bacterial SSU rRNA". It matches the Rfam family "Bacterial small subunit ribosomal RNA", at positions 28 to 349 of the family's 1533-position model. The record is from RNAcentral.